GAUGAACGCUGGCGGCGUGCCUAAUACAUGCAAGUCGAGCGAAUGGAUUAAGAGCUUGCUCUUAUGAAGUUAGCGGCGGACGGGUGAGUAACACGUGGGUAACCUGCCCAUAAGACUGGGAUAACUCCGGGAAACCGGGGCUAAUACCGGAUAACAUUUUGAACCGCAUGGUUAGAAAUUGAAAGGCGGCUUCGGCUGUCACUUGUGGAUGGACCCGCGUCGCAUUAGCUAGUUGGGGAGGUAACGGCUCACCAAGGCAACGAUGCGUAGCCGACCUGGGAGGGUGAUCGGCCACACUGGGACUGAGACACGGCCCAGACUCCUACGGGAGGCAGCAGUAGGGAAUCUUCCGCAAUGGACGAAAGUCUGACGGAGCAACGCCGCGUGAGUGAUGAAGGCUUUCGGGUCGUAAAACUCUGUUGUUAGGGAAGAACAAGUGCUAGUUGAAUAAGCUGGCACCUUGACGGUACCUAACCAGAAAGCCACGGCUAACUACGUGCCAGCCGCCGCCGUAA
This 515-nucleotide ribosomal RNA is filed under the name uncultured bacterium. RNAcentral's name for it is "partial 16S ribosomal RNA". It matches the Rfam family "Bacterial small subunit ribosomal RNA", at positions 28 to 523 of the family's 1533-position model. The record is from RNAcentral.